Molecule: ribosomal RNA, 254 nt
Filed under: uncultured bacterium
Lineage: Bacteria
Description: partial 16S ribosomal RNA
Rfam family: Bacterial small subunit ribosomal RNA
Source: RNAcentral
CACGUAGGGUGCGAGCGUCGUCCGGAAUUAUUGGGCGUAAAGAGCUCGUAGGCGGUGUGUCGCGUCGGCCGUGAAAACCUGCAGCUUAACUGUGGGCUUGCGGUCGAUACGGGCAUCACUGGAGUUCGGCAGGGGAGACUGGAAUUCCUGGUGUAGCGGUGAAAUGCGCAGAUAUCAGGAGGAACACCGGUGGCGAAGGCGGUUCUCUGGGCAUGUCCUGACGCUGAGGAGCGAAAGUGUGGGGAGCGAACAGG